This 661-nucleotide ribosomal RNA is filed under the name Salmonella enterica. RNAcentral describes it as "partial 23S ribosomal RNA". It matches the Rfam family "Bacterial large subunit ribosomal RNA", at positions 1 to 677 of the family's 2925-position model. Lineage: Bacteria; Pseudomonadati; Pseudomonadota; Gammaproteobacteria; Enterobacterales; Enterobacteriaceae. RNAcentral also lists the same sequence under 1 other name. The record is from RNAcentral.
GGGUUGUGAGGUUAAGCGACUAAGCGUACACGGUGGAUGCCCUGGCAGUCAGAGGCGAUGAAGGACGUGCUAAUCUGCGAUAAGCGCCGGUAAGGUGAUAUGAACCGUUAUAACCGGCGAUUUCCGAAUGGGGAAACCCAGUGUGACUCGUCACACUAUCAUUAACUGAAUCCAUAGGUUAAUGAGGCGAACCGGGGGAACUGAAACAUCUAAGUACCCCGAGGAAAAGAAAUCAACCGAGAUUCCCCCAGUAGCGGCGAGCGAACGGGGAUGAGCCCAGAGCCUGAAUCAGCAUGUGUGUUAGUGGAAGCGUCUGGAAAGGCGCGCGAUACAGGGUGACAGCCCCGUACACAAAAGCGCAUGUGCUGUGAGCUCGAUGAGUAGGGCGGGACACGUGGUAUCCUGUCUGAAUAUGGGGGGACCAUCCUCCAAGGCUAAAUACUCCUGACUGACCGAUAGUGAACCAGUACCGUGAGGGAAAGGCGAAAAGAACCCCGGCGAGGGGAGUGAAAAAGAACCUGAAACCGUGUACGUACAAGCAGUGGGAGCCCCACCACUAAGCCAGUGGUGAACUCCACAUACGCAUCCUUUGCUGAGGAUGCGGUUAACGGAGCGAAAGCGACGUUCAACCGCAAAAGAAGCAGAGGGGGCUUAGUGGUGG